CACGUAGUUAGCCGGGGCUUCUUAGUCAGGUACCGUCAUUUCUUUCUUCCCUGCUGAUAGAGCUUUACAUACCGAAAUACUUCUUCACUCACGCGGCGUCGCUGGAUCAGGGUUCCCCCCCAUUGUCCAAUAUUCCCCACUGCUGCCUCCCGUAGGAGUUUGGGCCGUGUCUCAGUCCCAAUGUGGCCGUUCACCCUCUCAGGCCGGCUACUGAUCGUUGCCUUGGUGGGCCCGUUACCCCGCCAACAAGCUAAUCAGACGCGGGUCCAUCUUACACCACCGGAGUUUUCAAGUAAAAGACAUGCGUCUCCUACUGUUAUGCGGUAUUAGCACCUAUUUCUAAGUGUUAUCCCCCAGUGCAAGGCAGGUUACCCACGCGUUACUCACCCGUCCGCCACUAAGAUAGCAACAUCUCCGCUCUUAGUAAACUAAUCGCUUACGAAAAUUGUUAAUCUCCGUUCACUUGCAUGUGUUAAGCACGCCGCCAGCGUUCAUCCUGACGCCAGGACUACAAACUCUAC
This 521-nucleotide ribosomal RNA is filed under the name uncultured Lachnospiraceae bacterium. RNAcentral's name for it is "partial 16S ribosomal RNA". The record is from RNAcentral. Lineage: Bacteria; Bacillati; Bacillota; Clostridia; Lachnospirales; Lachnospiraceae.